UCCCCUCUAGCCACUACUUCCUUCAUUGGACUGCAAGGUAUUUCUGUUUGGAAAAGUAAUGGAGUCCAGUCAACUUCAUUGAUCUCCAAGGACUGUCAAAAUUAUAAAACUUGCUGUGGAGCUCUGACAUGCCAGAAGCCGCUAGAAAAAGAAGUUUGACAUUCAGAAACUUAUCAAGAGGUUCUACUCUUUGGAUAGAGACCAAAAUAAUACUUUGAAAAAAUGAGAAGAGAUGGAAGCCAUGGAAGGGUGUGUGGAAUCAAGCAGCAGUUCUCAAAACAGCAUAAAUCAAGACCUCAGCACAUAUCAAGACCUCAGCACAUUUAAGACGGUGACACAAAAGCAUCGUAGUGUUGUCAUUCACCACUAUGCAGGAGGGAAAGCCAAUUUCAUUUCAGAAUGUCCUCAAUUAAUCUGUAGAAAUUAUUAAUUUUAUUAAAUCCCAGUCCUUGA
This 453-nucleotide small RNA is filed under the name Pongo abelii (Sumatran orangutan). RNAcentral's name for it is "sense overlapping". The record is from RNAcentral. Lineage: Eukaryota; Metazoa; Chordata; Mammalia; Primates; Hominidae.